ACAGAGAGCCGAGUACAGACUGGAUCUCCACUUUCUCUUCCUGUUUCAGAUCAGUGCUUUUGGGCAGUGGACGAACUGUGUAACAGCCUGAGAUAAACCAAAUGACAUAUUGCAAUUCAGAUUGAAAAUAUUUUGAACAUUGAACUGAUCAAAAUGAUAUCCUCUACGUGAUAACACAGUUUCACAACUCGAUGCAAAAGAAAUGGGCCCUUUUCCCGAGGAAUGAAAAGCCUAUCCUAUUUUGUUCUAUAAGACAC
This 257-nucleotide long non-coding RNA is filed under the name Fukomys damarensis (Damara mole-rat). RNAcentral describes it as "lncRNA (ENSFDAG00000030096.1)". The record is from RNAcentral. Lineage: Eukaryota; Metazoa; Chordata; Mammalia; Rodentia; Bathyergidae.